This 507-nucleotide ribosomal RNA is filed under the name uncultured Glomus. Its description in RNAcentral is "SSU rRNA". It matches the Rfam family "Eukaryotic small subunit ribosomal RNA", at positions 569 to 1078 of the family's 1831-position model. Lineage: Eukaryota; Fungi; Glomeromycota; Glomeromycetes; Glomerales; Glomeraceae. The record is from RNAcentral.
AGCAGCCGCGGUAAUUCCAGCUCCAAUAGCGUAUAUUAAAGUUGCUGCAGUUAAAAAGCUCGUAGUUGAAUUUCGGGACUAAUAUGUUGGUCGUGCCUCGGUACGUACUGAUAUUUUUGGUUUCUCCCUUCUGACGAACCUUGAUGUCAUUAAUUUGGUGUCUUGGGAAAUCAGGACUGUUACUUUGAAAAAAUUAGAGUGUUUAAAGCAGGCUCACGCUUGAAUACAUUAGCAUGGAAUAAUGAAAUAGGACGUUUGAUUCUAUUUUGUUGGUUUCUAGGAUCGACGUAAUGAUUAAUAGGGAUAGUUGGGGGCAUUAGUAUUCAAUUGUCAGAGGUGAAAUUCUUGGAUUUAUUGAAGACUAACUACUGCGAAAGCAUUUGCCAAGGAUGUUUUCAUUAAUCAAGAACGAAAGUUAGGGGAUCGAAGACGAUCAGAUACCGUCGAAGUCUUAACCAUAAACUAUGCCCACUAGGGAUCGGAUGAUGUCAAUUUUUUAAUGACUCA